This 424-nucleotide ribosomal RNA is filed under the name uncultured Bacteroides sp. RNAcentral describes it as "bacterial SSU rRNA". It matches the Rfam family "Bacterial small subunit ribosomal RNA", at positions 338 to 754 of the family's 1533-position model. Lineage: Bacteria; Pseudomonadati; Bacteroidota; Bacteroidia; Bacteroidales; Bacteroidaceae. The record is from RNAcentral.
CCUACGGGAGGCAGCAGUGGGGAAUAUUGCGCAAUGGGCGAAAGCCUGACGCAGCGACGCCGCGUGAGGGAUGAAGGUCUUCGGAUCGUAAACCUCUGUCAGAAGGGAAGAAACUAGGGUGCUCUAAUCAUCAUCCUACUGACGGUACCUUCAAAGGAAGCACCGGCUAACUCCGUGCCAGCAGCCGCGGUAAUACGGAGGGUGCAAGCGUUAAUCGGAAUCACUGGGCGUAAAGCGCACGUAGGCUGUUAUGUAAGUCAGGGGUGAAAUCCCACGGCUCAACCGUGGAACUGCCCUUGAUACUGCACGACUUGAAUCCGGGAGAGGGUGGCGGAAUUCCAGGUGUAGGAGUGAAAUCCGUAGAUAUCUGGAGGAACAUCAGUGGCGAAGGCGGCCACCUGGACCGGUAUUGACGCUGAGGUGC